Long non-coding RNA from Thalassophryne amazonica, 269 nucleotides. RefSeq lists it as uncharacterized. The record is from RefSeq and is a predicted model, not a curated record. Lineage: Eukaryota; Metazoa; Chordata; Actinopteri; Batrachoidiformes; Batrachoididae. The transcript is spliced from 3 exons.
GGGAAAAAAAAACCAAAAAUCAAAAUCUUGUAUUAGUGCAUUGUACAAAGAGAUGGCAAUGAUUGAAAACAUAAAAUCCAUUGAUAUGUAGUAGUGAUUAAAGUUUUUUUAAAAGUUCCUGUCAUACUUUCCAUAGAUUUCCAGAUUUCCAUCUAUAAAAAUAAGUAGAAUUUGAUUUGUAUGAUUUAUACAUGUGGAUACAAAAUAAUCAUGUGUACAAACAAAUGCAUCUACAUAUAUUUAUGAUGGUUGUGUUUUAAGAUUCCUCC